GGACGGUUAGCUCAGCGGUAGAGCGCUUCGUUGACAUCGAAGAGGUCACAGGUUCAAGUCCUGUACCGUCCACCA
This 75-nucleotide transfer RNA is filed under the name Candidatus Woykebacteria bacterium GWA1_44_8. Its description in RNAcentral is "tRNA-Val". It matches the Rfam family "tRNA". From Rfam's summary of the family: Transfer RNA (tRNA) molecules are approximately 80 nucleotides in length. Their secondary structure includes four short double-helical elements and three loops (D, anti-codon, and T loops). Further hydrogen bonds mediate the characteristic L-shaped molecular structure. tRNAs have two regions of fundamental functional importance: the anti-codon, which is responsible for specific mRNA codon recognition, and the 3' end, to which the tRNAs corresponding amino acid is attached (by aminoacyl-tRNA synthetases). tRNAs cope with the degeneracy of the genetic code in two manners: having more than one tRNA (with a specific anti-codon) for a particular amino acid; and 'wobble' base-pairing, i.e. permitting non-standard base-pairing at the 3rd anti-codon position. RNAcentral also lists the same sequence under 1 other name. Lineage: Bacteria; Candidatus Woykeibacteriota. The record is from RNAcentral.